Molecule: small RNA, 76 nt
Filed under: Aristaeella lactis
Lineage: Bacteria; Bacillati; Bacillota; Clostridia; Eubacteriales; Aristaeellaceae
Description: Gut-1 RNA
Rfam family: Gut-1 RNA
Source: RNAcentral
AAGUGAAAUAUGCCUUCGGCAUGUGAAAUGUUUGCUUCGCAAACGUGAAAUGUGCCUUCGGCACGUGAAAUAUUGG